UAACACACAGCUCAGAUGUGAACUACAGUAGAUAUCAGACAUGCUAAAACCUGAGUUUUGCAAAAAAAAAAACUACUGCAGCAUGAGAUCAGACACAGAAUCUUACCACAGCAGGAAAACAGGGCAGACAAAUACAACACAGUGAUUUGAAAUGAACUGAUAGUAAUAAAUAUUAAUCUUUCAUAUUGUUGUUGGUGGUGGUGGUGGUUGUAGUGCAGUACAUAACUUUCUAAAUUAUCUCUUAUGUUUUAUUAUUUGAUUUUGUAUUUCACAGCUUCAGUAUUAAAGCCAGUCAUAAGAAAUCAAGCUGAAAAGCGCUCAGUGAGUCUCAGAGAGUCGUGCUCUCCUCUGUGCUCUGUGGAGAACGGGAAGGAUGUGAGUUUGUCCUGGUAUGAAGAGAAAGAGAGAAUCUCCAGCAUCAGCAGCUCAGAUUCCAGUGAACGUCUUUAUCUUCCUCUGAAUAAGACCAACCCAAACAACUCUACUUACACCUGUGUAGCUGCUAAUCCAGUCAGCGCUCAGACAGCCCAGCUCAACAUUACAAACAUCUGCAUUAAGUCAGUCUCAGGUCAGAAGGUUAAGAGAGAUCUCUCCAAAUCACUGGCUGCUGUUCUGACACCUGCUGGACUGAUUGCUGCUCUAUCAAUAUUAAGUGUGUGGUUCUGGAAAAAGAAGUCAAAUCAACAAGGCAAGAAAUACAUAAAUUUGAGUCGCUACACCAACUUUGUAACGACUUUCAGUACUCGUGAUUUUGUAUGUGAUAGUUUGCUGCACUUCUGUAAUGUAUUGUUGUGUUUUUUGUGUCCAGUUUAUCAGUAUGUUAAGCUGAGUUAUGCUGAAGUGAAAGGCACGUCUCAGUAUUCAGAUGAGGAUCAUAAGAAAGUUGGUGUUGGAGUGGCAGAAGACCAGCGCACAUUGGUGGUGUAUUCAACUAAAAGGAUGUAACUCUGUAUUUUACCAUUAGUUUAUCUAAUGACUCGUUUCUUUAGAUGCUUUGUGUUGAUUCCUUUGUUCAGUAACUUUUAACAGUGAACUGUUGCUUAGAACAUUUACUCCAUUUCUGUACUGCUGUAUCCAUUUUGUGUUUCUGAAUGUAGUGAAGACUUUGUGAUGCUGUAAAUGAAAGUAAAUGUAAGACCUCUGUCCAACAUGUGUUUGUGUAAAGAUGUGUUCAUUCUGCUUUUACUGAUGUAGGUACUGUAAGAGGUGAAACUGUAGAAGAACCUGCAAAAAGUCGUGAUUGGAGAUUUAUCUACUUAGACUUAUUGGGAACUCUCUUAACUCAAGCACUGACGUCUGCACAUCUUUAUUAUUUCCUUACACCAGCGACGUUAAAGUCAGUUACGACAGACAAAAUCAUGAAAAUAAACAGUGACAUUGAGAACCACUCAGACCUUCUGU
This is a long non-coding RNA of Pygocentrus nattereri (red-bellied piranha), 1401 nucleotides long. NCBI's taxonomy places the organism in Eukaryota, Metazoa, Chordata, Actinopteri, Characiformes, Serrasalmidae. The record is from Ensembl.